AUGGGCUCAACACUGAAGGUAGCGGGAAUUAAAGCGGAUCACGCAGAGAGAAAGGGAGGGGCCGCUUUCGUCCUAUAUCCUGAUUGGGCUGGAGUUUGGGCCUGGACAGAUGGGUCAGCAUUUGAUUACGCUUCUUGGACUCUUGGACAACCUUACAUUGCCUUUAAUCGGGACUGUAUCGUAUUCAAUACAGACGGAAACUGGAUUAAUCUUAAUGGUGCCAUACUGUAUCCAUCUAUCUGUGCUACAACAGUUACUACAACCACAACUGCUGUUCCCUCGACUACACUUCCUUCGACCUCUUUUCCUUCGACUGCUCUUACCUCAACUACUGAACCCCUGACUACUGUUCCCUCAACUGUUGCUCCCUUUACUACUGUUCCCUGGCUGGUGACAAAUGGUUCAACUUCACCAAGUA
This 418-nucleotide long non-coding RNA is filed under the name Astyanax mexicanus (Mexican tetra). Its description in RNAcentral is "lncRNA (ENSAMXG00005018521.1)". The record is from RNAcentral. Lineage: Eukaryota; Metazoa; Chordata; Actinopteri; Characiformes; Acestrorhamphidae.